Molecule: unclassified non-coding RNA, 314 nt
Filed under: plant metagenome
Description: partial contains 5.8S ribosomal RNA, internal transcribed spacer 2, and large subunit ribosomal RNA
Rfam family: 5.8S ribosomal RNA (bases 1-105)
Source: RNAcentral
GAAAUGCGAUAAUUAAUGUGAAUUGCAGAAUUCAGUGAAUCAUCGCGUCUUUGAACGCACAUUGCGCCCCCUGGUAUUCCGGGGGGCAUGCCUGUCCGAGCGUCAUUGCUGCCCUCAAGCACGGCUUGUGUGUUGGGCUUCCGUCCCUGGCAACGGGGACGGGCCCAAAAGGCAGUGGCGGCACCAUGUCUGGUCCUCGAGCGUAUGGGGCUUUGUCACCCGCUCCCGUAGGUCCAGCUGGCAGCUAGCCUCGCAACCAAUCUUUUUAACCAGGUUGACCUCGGAUCAGGUAGGGAUACCCGCUGAACUUAAGC